AUACGUAGGGGGCGAGCGUUGUCCGGAAUGAUUGGGCGUAAAGGGCGCGUAGGCGGCCCGGUAAGUCUGGAGUGAAAGUCCUGUUUUUAAGAUGGGAAUUGCUUUGGAUACUGUCGGGCUUGAGUGCAGGAGAGGUAAGUGGAAUUCCCAGUGUAGCGGUGAAAUGCGUAGAGAUUGGGAGGAACACCAGUGGCGAAGGCGACUUACUGGACUGUAACUGACGCUGAGGCGCGAAAGUGUGGGGAGCAAACAGGAUUAGAUACCCUGGUAGUCCACACUGUAAACGAUGAAUGCUAGGUGUAGGGGGUAUCGACCCCUUCUGUGCCGCAGUCAACACAAUAAGCAUUCCGCCUGGGGAGUACGAUCGCAAGAUUGAAACUUAAAGGAAUUGACGGGG
RNAcentral lists this ribosomal RNA (397 nucleotides) under uncultured bacterium. RNAcentral describes it as "partial 16S ribosomal RNA". It matches the Rfam family "Bacterial small subunit ribosomal RNA", at positions 523 to 918 of the family's 1533-position model. The record is from RNAcentral.